CUUUCAACAACGGAUCUCUUGGUUCUGGCAUCGAUGAAGAACGCAGCGAAAUGCGAUAAGUAAUGUGAAUUGCAGAAUUCAGUGAAUCAUCGAAUCUUUGAACGCACAUUGCGCCCUCUGGUAUUCCGGGGGG
This 133-nucleotide ribosomal RNA is filed under the name Mycosphaerella sp. Sh27. Its description in RNAcentral is "5.8S ribosomal RNA". It matches the Rfam family "5.8S ribosomal RNA", at positions 3 to 135 of the family's 154-position model. From Rfam's summary of the family: 5.8S ribosomal RNA (5.8S rRNA) is a component of the large subunit of the eukaryotic ribosome. Lineage: Eukaryota; Fungi; Ascomycota; Dothideomycetes; Mycosphaerellales; Mycosphaerellaceae. The record is from RNAcentral.